AGGUCAAGUUUUCUGAAUCUAAAAUCUAAUCCAUCCAAUACAGAACGAACUUGCGUGCGUGCCAUAACUAACCGUUCGCUGUUUGUUCUAUCGUAUCGACUUUAUUAUUAUCGUAUUAAUUCAACCAACUAACCACAAAAACCUAAACAAACCCUAACCCUAAUUUUCUAUCCAACCAACCAUGCCCACCGAUUCUCGACGCAAGCAUCGCCGAUCACCUUCUCCCGAUGACCACGACAAAUCCUCCAAACGUCACAAACACCGCCACCGUCACCGCCACCACAUCAGCAAAAAACGCGGCGAAGAAGAGAUUCAAUUCGAUGCUGAAACCGUUGAUUCGGUGAAGAUCAAUCAUCUUCCUGUUGAUGACGUAGAGGAGGGAGAGAUUCUUGAUGACCUGCCUUUCGAGGUCAAAGAUGAUCCAGAUCUUCGAUCUAAUGACAAAAAUCCGGGACUUCCCGCUAAAAAUUCAGAAACUGAACAUGAGGACAUCAGCAAUGACAGAUUUAUUAAUCAUACUUCUGAUGAAGAAGAUGGGAAACUGCGUCAGAGCUGCCACAUUGAUACUCGAAUUAAUGACGAUGAUGAUUCUCCAUACAACUCAAGAGCUGAAACUCAAACUAGGAGGGAUGUUCGAGCUGGUACUGAUGCUCUGGGCAAUGGGCAUCUGGGUGUUAAGUCUUCCAAAGGGGAUAAGUGGAAGAAUUGGGAGUUUGGUCAUUUUAGAGGAAAUGAGAAACUUAAAGGUGACAAUGAUGACGACACACUGGAGGCUAAUAGAAGGGAAGUAAAUCCCCACAGGAAUUCCUCUGAAAGUGGAGAAGAAAAACACAGAAUGUCAGCGAAUUCUCCUUUGCAUGAUGGACACAGAAGUCGAUCAAGAUCAAUUGGUCAUACAAGGGAUAGGUCUCGUUCUCGUAGUGUAGUAGAAGAGCAUGCUCGUCCCAAGAACAGGCACUCUGUGGAACAAGGAUCCCUUUAUUAUACCAGUAGACACAAGACUGACUAUGACCUUGAUGAGGAAACAGUGAGAGCAGGAAGAAGGGAGCAUCGUCACGGCAGUAAGGAUCUGAUGGAAGAUGAUAGACGAGAACACAGUUCUAGGUAUCAUAGUCGGGAGGCCCGGGAUAAGAACAGGAACAAGGAUAUGGAUAAGGAUAGGGGUCGGGACAGAGAUGUGGAUAGAGACUUGCAUAGGGAAAAGAAGCGAGAGGAAACAAGCAGGAAUAAGGAGGUUGAUUGGGUGCAUAGAAGGGAAAAAGAACGUGGAAGGAGUCAUGACAGGCAUAGAAGGGACAUGGUAAAAGAUAGGAGCAGGGAAAGGGAUGAGGGUAGGGAUAGGAGAAGAGAAAUGGAAAGAGAUAGGAGCAGGGACGCAGUUUAUGAGAGGGAUAGUAGAAGGGAAACUGAAAGAGAUAUGAGCAGGGACAGAACAAGGGGUGGUGAGAGAGAUAGAGACUGGAAGAGUGAAUGGGAUUAUAGGAACCGGGAAAGGGAUAUCAAUAAGGAGAGACGAGAUGACAGAUAUCGGCACAACGAUGAAGACACUCCUAAUGGUAAGGAUAAGCAUAUGCAUCGCGAGGAUGAUAAUGACAUCGGAGAUAGAUAUAAAAAACAUUCAAGACAUGAAGAAAAUGGAUACCAUGCAGAUAGAAAGAGAAACUAUACCAUGGAAGAGGAUGGAAGGAAACUUAAAGGCAGCGAGGUUGAACAAGAUGAUGUAGAUGAGGAUACAUUGGAAUUACCUGAUCAGGAAGAGGAAGAUCUGAUCAGAAUCAAAGAGGAGAGUAGAAGAAGAAGAGAAGCAAUAAUGGAGAAAUACAAGAAGCAGAGUCAGCAAAUACAGCAAGCAGCUGAAAAUGAAGGAAAAGACAAGGACAUGGAGAUUCACACUGACAUUUCUAAAGCAAUUGAUGGCAAGAGUGAUGAUGUGGAACCAUCAUUUUCUGUUGGGAAAUCUCCACCUGAAAAUGUGGAUGUUGGCUCAGAGAAGGUACCUGGUGCUGGUGGCCUAGGGGAGGGUACUCCAAAGAGUGAGAGGUCAGCUGACAAGUAUUGUGAUGAUAUAUUUGGUGAGACACCAACUGGAGUUCGGAAAUCGGGAAAGGAAGAUGGGCUACUGAUUGAGAGGGCCGGCCUGCAUGACAAUUGGGAUGAUGCAGAGGGCUAUUACAGCUAUCGUUUUGGUGAAAUACUUGAUGGCCGAUAUGAAGUUACUGCUGCACAUGGGAAGGGUGUCUUUUCAACAGUUGUACGAGCUAGGAAUCUAAAAGCUGGUAAUGGUGAGCCAGAUGAAGUAGCAAUAAAAAUUAUCCGCAAUAACGACACUAUGUACAAGGCUGGUUUGGAUGAAUUGGUCAUUUUGAAGAAAUUAGUAGGUGCAGAUCCGGAUGAUAAACGUCAUUGUGUUCGUUUCCUUUCAAGCUUUAAGUACAGAAAUCAUCUAUGUUUAGUUUUUGAAUCUCUAAAUAUGAAUCUGCGUGAGGUUUUAAAGAAGUUCGGUCGCAAUAUUGGCCUUAGGCUAACUGCUGUGAGGACAUAUGCAAAACAGCUUUUUAUUGCACUGAAGCAUCUCCGUAACUGUGGUGUUCUGCACUGUGAUAUAAAGCCUGAUAAUAUGUUGGUGAACGAGGCUAAAAAUGUUUUGAAGCUUUGUGACUUUGGUAAUGCCAUGUUUGCUGGUAAAAAUGAAGUGACACCAUAUCUUGUGAGUCGCUUUUAUCGUGCUCCUGAAAUAAUUCUUGGCUUGCAGUAUGAUCAUCCAUUGGAUAUUUGGUCUGUAGGCUGUUGUUUGUAUGAACUGUACACAGGGAAGGUUCUAUUUCCAGGGCUCACAAACAAUGACAUGCUGCGGCUUCACAUGGAAUUGAAGGGCCCUUUUCCAAAAAAGAUGCUCCGUAAGGGAGCGUUUACUGGACAGCAUUAUGACCAAGACUUAAGUUUUCAUGCCACUGACGAGGAUCCUGUAACAAAAAAGACCAUAAAGCGGAUGAUUCUUAACAUAAAGCCGAAAGAUAUUGGAACAAUCGUUGCUGGCUCUUCUGGGGAAGACCCAAAAAUGUUGGCCAAUUUUAAAGAUAUUCUAGAUAAAAUUUUCGUCUUGGAUCCGGACAAGCGGUUGACAGUCUCACAAGCAUUGAACCACCCAUUCAUCACUGGCAAGUGACCAAUGUUGCAAAACUUGACUCCUGAAAUGAUAUUCACUGAUAUUUGUACAUAUUUAUCCAAUUGGUAUUAAGGUUCUAAUGAUAUGGUACUAUUUAUCUUCUCUGUACGGCCCAAGGAGUGUCAUCGCAGUUGUCGGCCUGUUGAAGUUAAAAAGUGUGAUGUCCCUAAAGGCGGACACUUAACUGGCGGUUCUCAGUGGAAUGUACUGUUUCUAUUGAGACAUCACGGGUUUCAGGCUUCCCUCCCAUGCUUAGAUGCAUAAAAGGAACCCAGGAGAAGGUAUCUUGGUUUGUUUAUUAGGAGAUUAAAUUCGCUGUUUUAGAAUGAAUUAUAAUUUCCAUUAAAAUUUGUUAUCAAUGCCUAUACAAUAGCUACUUGUGUGAUGGAAAUAUAUUAUGAUGAGCUUGAAUGUGCUCUCCUUUGAGCUUGUUGGUGCUAUCUGAGAACAUGCGAGCUCAUCAAUUCUGUGUGUUUUAACUAGGUUCAUAAGAUAGGAGUAGUGGUUAGUGUUGAACCUGCAUUUUCAUCCAGGUGCAGGUUCCAGUACUACGCAAAUGCCUAAUGGCCACUGUUUUGAUGAAAAGUCAGUAUUAGUGAAAGAAUUAACAAGACCUGUGUUUUCUACACUUCUUUCUUUUGCCUUGGUCACUUAUUGAGUUGGACAUAUAGAUCAAUUUAUUUAGUUGUACUUAGCAUCUCUUUCCUUUUGAUGUCUUGUUAUUAUUUUCUAAAGUUUGCCUUUACGUAUCCUAAUGGAUUAAUGUUGCAUUUUAUCCAUGGCGGGUCAUUCUGGAGGCAUUUCUACGGGAUGUUUGGCCGUGUUCUUGAAGCAUAUUCAUAUCUCGGUAAUGUAUCAUACUCCUGCAGUUUCUGUAAGUAUAUUGAAAUCCAUUUCCUUUCUCAUUUUUGUCAGUAUUAAUGCCUUUGAUGGUCCACGGCAUCCAGUUUCCUACGAUGAUAUCGUAAUACAGAGUUAUCAUUUCUGUUUGUGGAUGGAUGUUUUGCGAAUUUGCAACUACAUCCAUAGUUUCUUACAGUGUUUUCAAUGAUCGAUCUGACCCUUCUUCCUACUAUAGUAUAUGAUCUAGAAAUUUAGAAAUAUACGAGUUAAAGUCAUGUGUUUGUGCGCGUAGGCAUUUAGAAAUUUACGAGGUGUUGGUUGCCCUAGUCCAGAAAAACUUUUGGAUUUAAUCACAAGUCCAUUGUUCAUCGGCGGAGGGUGACUAAGUGAGCCAACUCCUUCGGUACCUUUUAUGGCCUUGCCAUCAUGAUUGAAUAGUGCAUGUCAAUGAAUACCUAUUUUUUUAUUUUACCUUCAAGGAUGAAAAAAAAAAACAGCUUUAAUUUUUUAUAGUGUUGCAUAUGCCUUGGUUGUAUAUCUUGAUAUGCAGUCUUGGGUGUGGAUGCGUUACACAACUCAAAUUUUAUAUAGUCUAGAAGUAGUGAGGAUGGAGGAAAGAACAUGGUUAUUUGAUGAUGGGCCGUUAGACGUAGAUACAACAACCUUGUAACCACUUGGUUAUUUGUAGCAAAUGAAUUUCUUCCCUAAAUGUCGAUAUACAAUUAACCUUCUAUCAACUUCUAUUUCGUUUCCCCUCUUCUCUCUAGGUUACGAUACACAUUCUUUCACCGUUGAUUCCACCUUGGUCCUAACAUUAUCACCUGCUGGAGCUGCAACCUUGUCCCCAAGGUUGAAUUUUAGCAACUGGUUUUUAAUAGUGGUGGCAUCCUCCUAAGUAGCAAUAGGAAACAACUAAAAGAGAGAAUUGUUGGACAUACUUAAUGCAAGAAUCUCAACAUAUAUUCCCGACAUGAUGCCGGAAAACAGUUACAAGAAAAUGCUAAGAACCAAUUCUACUAAUCCCCUAAUCAGUGUGCAGAACUAGAUUAGUAGAGUGGUUGCUGUUGGCUUGUUUAGAAACGUCAAAGCCUGUCCUUCCAAGUCACGUCAAGAAGAAAGAGAUCUUUUAUGCUGUUUUUCUUCCUGAUUUGAGUUUAUUGUUGUAGGUAAUUAAUGUGGAUCCCCAGGGUUCCAAUUUCAGUAGGUAACAAAUGAUGCAAGACUAAUAUUUAAAGGUGAGCGUUUUCCGUAGAUAAUGAAAUUUGAAGGAAGUAAUGGUGAAAUGACUCAAAGUGCCGUAAUGGAUGUGGCCCCCUUGAGUUUCCUCUUAGAAUUGUCUGACCUUUUCCAUUCACCUACUCCGUCUAUCUCCGAGUCCCGGCAUAAUUCACUACGUACGGUGCUGUAAGUGCUAUUUUUGGAAACGUUAUAAUUUUGAUAUUCCCUUGGGUCAUAUUAUGGGGGUGUUUAGACUAAAUGAGGUGUAGCCGUCAUGUAAGCUUUCUAAAUUUUGAUCUUACAACACCGUACGUAGUGAUUGGAUUAUAGAAUCAAUCAGAUUGAGUGAAAGACAAUGUUUAAAUUUUCUUCAUGCUAUAGGUUAGUUUUAGAAAAUCUACAUCUCGACUUUGUUAAAUUGUGUGAUGUGGUUCUGUCCGGUGCAUGUUCUGGAAAUUCACUCGAGUUAACCUAGUGAAAUAGUCAGGUUGUUUAGUUUUAAACCUCAAGAUAUUUCUGAACACACCCAAUGGUUUUAGCAAGAGCUUUCUAGCUUUUUAGCAUGAAUUGUUCAAUGCAUGCAGAACAUUCCAAUUUAUAGAAGAAUUGAUUGAUGCAUUUUUCUGAGGUUUGAAUAAAAGAAUAUUCGUUAUCUCUGUAAUAAAUGUUAAAAUAAUUUCUAAUGCUAACAAACCAUCAGAAUGAUUUCAAAUCAUACCAAUGUCUAACAUCUAUUUAUGAAACAAGAAGGUAUGUUUUUAAAACAAUAUUUAUUAGACUGGGGCCUUUGGAUUUCAUGGUAUAGUAUGAAGUUUUACUUUACUAAAUAAAAAAAUUACCAUGCAUUAUUCUGCAUUCUUUAUGGUUUUUAUCGAAUAAAAUGCUGCUAAAAAAUCUCCCAUAUAUUCAAAUUUUUUAAAAAACUUAUUUUCAGGGGUAUCCUAAAGUGACCAGAUUUAUAAAGUAAAACCACUUCUAUGAUAUUUAUAUUUACUUUUUUUUUUUUCCAUGUUAGAACAUAAUCUUGUCAUCCUGAUUAAUAUUUUACAGAUUCUUGUUUUUCUCCUAAACCAUAUUUCCUUUAAAUAGUAAUUUUUUAUGAAAAUAAGUGUAAUCAAUGCAUUGAAAAUUAAAAUAUUUGAUUUUUUUAUAAAAUUUCUUUUAGAAUACUUAAAUAGAGGGCUUGGAGGUGUACUUGUGAAUAAGACCCUUUAAUUAUAUUUCAUUUAUUUAUUGGUUCUUUUGUGGAUGCUUAUUAUAGAAAGACAGUCGUACAAAUGUAUUUGAUGUCAAGUUCACGCAUCUUUGUCAUACAACAAGCCAUGAUGUUGUUACUCGCUUCUGUACACUGGCAAAGAUGAACAAGAACACCACGAAAGUACCCCAAUCUUUCUUGGAUCCUUAAAACCAAUUUACAGCACGCCACAACACAACAAUUGAAAUGUUUUUUUACCAACACUUGACUACUAUUUUGUUGGAUUUUAAUGAAGGGGCACCAAGAACAUUGAGAUUACUAACCUGGACUAAAUUCAUUUCAGCUUCAUUCACUUGCUUUCUACGAUGUAAAUAUUGUCACUUUACCUUCAAUUAUAUGCAUUUGGACACCACUAAUAAACAAUAAUCCGACUGAUAAUAAUUUUGCAAGUGUUUUAGAAAAGUCUAGACAUUGUAAUCUUUACCAACCUUUGCUGGGCGGUUAACUACUUAACGGCAUUGAACUUCAUGAUAAGAAAGUCUAGACAUGAUGUCCUCAUUUUCAAUGAAACUAUUUUUGUUCCCCAUAGAUGAAGACCGUUGUACAAUUAACAAAGGUUGUGUCUUGCCACUUGGACUAAAAUUGUCUGUUGAUUUGAUUUUACUCUUCCCUUUGUACUUAUUGUAAUGUAAUGGAAAGACAUCAAUAGUACAGUCGUCACUCUUUUCAUUUUCUUUUCCUUUUCCUUUAGUUGAGAAAUCAUGAAAUGUGACAAAUGGUAUAGUAUAAAUUCCUUUAGUUGAGAAAUCUUUGACGGAAAAGAAAUAUUGUAUGAUACUUAUAUGGAUUAUUGGUGAAAAAAACUGUAUCCACUGGCACUUGUUUGGAA
RNA transcript from Medicago truncatula (barrel medic), 7311 nucleotides. It is a transcript of the gene named serine/threonine-protein kinase prpf4B, with no coding region annotated. The record is from RefSeq and is a predicted model, not a curated record. The transcript has 14 exons. Lineage: Eukaryota; Viridiplantae; Streptophyta; Magnoliopsida; Fabales; Fabaceae.